Long non-coding RNA from Gasterosteus aculeatus aculeatus (three-spined stickleback), 5048 nucleotides. NCBI's taxonomy places the organism in Eukaryota, Metazoa, Chordata, Actinopteri, Perciformes, Gasterosteidae. The record is from Ensembl.
UUCUACCGCUGUACCAUAGAGAGCAUCCUUACAAACUGCAUCUCAGUAUGGUACGGCAGCUGCUCUGUCGCAGACCGUAAAUCACUGCAGAGGGUGGUGAAAACUGCCCAACGCAUCACCGGUUCCUCACUCCCCACCAUCAAGGCUGUCCAGAGCAAGAGAUGUCUGCGGAGGGCACGCAGCUCUCACCCCAGCCACAGACUGUUUUCCCUCCUCCCCUCUGGGAGGCGCUACAGGGUGCUCCGUUCCCGGACCAGCAGGUUCAGGAACAGCUUCAUCCCUGCGGCUGUCACUCUACUGAACUCUGCCCCCCACCCCCACACACAUCUCCCUCAGUGACUGUACUUCCACCCUGGCUUGACUGCCACACACCUUCCUCCAGCCACUGAACAUUUGCACCGUUAUUGCAUAUCCAUUUCUUACUGUUCAUAUUGCAUAACUAUUUCUUACUGUACAUAUCUAUUUAUUCACUUAUUACACUUUACAUAUGCACAUACUCUGCACGUUUGCACUUCUGGUUGGAUGUUAAACUGCAUUUCGUUGCCUCAGUACUUGUACCCUGUGCAAUGACAAUAAAGUUGAAUCUAAUCUAAAUCUAAUCUAAUCAAUAAAGACAGUUGGCUCUCACAAACUGAACGAAGCGGUGUGAGAUCUGUGACCAAACAAAUAGGAACACGCGUCAUCUCAGCGUUUACACUCUGCUACUGCCUGAAGAAGCUACAGUUAUUGGAGGUAUUAAAGAAUAUAUAUUUUUUUUUAAGAUGCCGAGAGGAUCAUUUUGUAGUGACUUGAUGAUCCCUUAUAGCGGCUCCGGUAUAAGAUGAAUCUGAUUAAACUUUGGUUGUCAAAGAUAACCGUGACCUCAAAAAACGCGUUGAGGCUAUAAAUCAAUAAUUCAUGUGGUAGCGAUGAAGGUUUCCCUCAAAUAUGUAAUGGGAUGAAAUGCUAAAGGGAAAAUAUUUACUAGAAGACCUUGAUCUAGCAAUGUUAUCACGUCAAAAUGUUGUUGGUCAGAACUACAGAUGAAUGACCUUGAAUAGCUUUUGUGUUGAAUGAAACUGAUGUCGACAUGUUACUGUCCAUCUAAUUUCCCAUGACUGGUUUAAUAAUCAUUCAUGAUAGAGGAACAGUUAUCCAGGUUUUCCCGACAAAGAUUUGAUUUCAGCUGAAAUCACUGCCACAUAUUCUGCCAUUUCCAAUCAUCAUGCAGGUCAAUAUUAGGAUGAAAACUGCAUGAAAUACACGUGUGCUGGACUGGAGAUGGUCAAUACCAAAAUGGAUUAAGGAAGGCCGCUGACUGAGAAUAAAGUUGGUGCAAAUCCCAGGAUAGAUCAUUAGAGUAUCGGGACGUCGUGCUUCUAUAACUGUUCCCAGCUUUGAAGAAGGAUAUGAGAUUCAUCGAUUACGCUUCACCUCCCUUCUCUCCUCGUCGUGAGGUAAUUGAAGAUGAGCAGGAGAGCUCUUCGGCUAGCCUCAUACUUAACCCUCUGAUGCUGUAUUUUGGAGAAGGAUGAAUAUCUCCAGGCACUCUCUAUUCAUAAGAUCUUCAAUCUGGAGCACACACAGCCCUCCAGCUGGCUUAGUUUAUUGUAUCUCGUCUUUCCUUGACAAAAAAACCCAGGAGCCGUACCUCACAAAAUUGUGUCACCCGACAUUAUUAAAACUGUUGCAGAAGAAUAAUAUAUGAGUGUGUUGUUAAACUGGGAACAGAACCAGCCCCUACUUACCUGGGACCCGGCUUUUUUAAUUAGAAUUUACCCUCCACUAAACCCUGCUUACAUAAAUACUUCUCCUUUGGCCACUUUGGACUUUGAUGCAGACACGAGGCUGUUACUGUUUGGGUGCACACUGCAGUGUUUGGCCUGCAGGUCCAGCACCAAUGACCGAGGCAGUGGAAUCACGGCACUAAUUCAUGGUUUAUAAAUAGAAGGCAUCCUUUUUUUUAAAUCCUAACCUGGGGAUCCUUUGUGCUUCAUAUCAGCUGGACAGUGAUGUCAGAGCGUCAGGGGAAGCCCCGGGUCUGCGGCUAGUGGAACAAAGCCACGUCAGUGGGGUCUGUCGGCGGGAGGGGGCGGAAACCUAGCCGUCUGCCUCACAGUGCCACCAUUGUCUCCCUGGCCCUGUACCCAGAGCGGCUCCUGCCCCCCCGCUGGCAUUACCAGGAUAUCUGAGUUUAUUGCAUCUCGGAGCUCCUGUUGGUGGCAAAGACACGAGGAAACCAGUAGCUGAUCCCCAUGAGAUAAAAGGGUAUACUACAUGCUGCACAAUAGCACAGAUAUUUGGGAUUCUGGAUCAAUGUAAUACUGUGCUAAAUUUCUGGACUCCCCCUGCCCCCGUUUCAGUUUAUGAAUGGCUUUCCUGAGUAGUUUCAUUUUUUGCUGAUACAAAUAGCAAAUGUAGAUAUGUUUGAUAUUCAAAUAUCUGUUAUAUUUAUUCGCCAACCUUUAUCAAAUUUCUUUACCCCCCACCCAAGUUGGUUUAUCACCCAAAAGAAACUACAGACAAUAAAUUACACCGACAUUGGUCAUUGGUAAUUUGUAAUAUUUUGCAAAUAUUUGCACCGAUACAUGAUCGACUAUGGUGGUGAAUUCUAUUCCAAGUAAACAUUUGCGCGGUAAUACUGUCAUAGUGAGGAUGUUAGCAUAUUGACGUUAGCAUGUAGCACUGCCUCAGAAUUAGCAUCUGAAACUCCAUUAAACAGUUGUGGCAUUCUCAAAAAUGAUUGUCAGGAGCAUUUCUUAAACAUUAGCAUCCAGAUGCAUCGAUACAUGAUUUGACGAUCCUAAAUCUAGAUCCUCCUGGGCCAAAAAGCGUAAAACAGCUUUCUAGUAUUGAACUGUACAGUGAUGCUUCAACAUAAAAGUAACAAUAACCUUUUUGUGGGUUGACAUGAAUGCUUGCACAGCCUUGAGGCCACAACAUUGAUAAGGGGGAAAAAAUAUUCAGAUGUGCCACGUUUAAAGUGGAUUUCCGCCGGCGGACAUGGACUUCUUUUCAAGUGAUUUCACACAACAAGGCGUGCAGGAAACUAAAAAAGGUGGGAACUGUUUUAUCAAAUUGGUUUCUCAAAACCUAAUAUAUUGAGGAACGGAGUGAUGAUGACUAUAUCAACAAUCAAAUAAAAGCACAUUAUAUCGCUUGAGAUCACUCAGCAGCUGGAAUACGGAGGAGAUGAAAGUGUAUCUGAUGACCUACUAAUGCUGUAUGUUGGUGACAACAGCGUAGCUUUUGCAUGCCCAGAUUCCGGCACCACAUUUCAGCACAGCCAUUGUCUGCUGUGGAGACCUCCAGGUUUCUGUGAUGCACAAUCUACCAGGACCUAAAGUGGGCCUCCAAUAUAGACAGCAAUAUUGAAGUUCAACCUUCUUCAGGAACUGCUGGUCCUGUCUACACACGCCAUCAUCCAGUCUGUUCUCUGUUCUUCCAUCACUGUGUAGGUUUGGAUCGGCCACUAAACAGACUACAACGAAUUAUAAAGUCUGCAGAGAGAGCAAUUGUCUCCAGCCUGCCCCGCCAUCCUGGACUUGUAAAGGCUCAGACUGCUCCCCUCUGGUAGGCGAUACAGAGUUCUGUGCACCAAAACCCGCAGACCCAGGAACAGCUUCUUCCCUUGGCCGUCUCUCUGAAACAGCUAAUCUGUCAGGCAGCACCUCAGUUGCACCAUUGCCACUAUCUGCACUUCAAUCAACCAACCACAAACCAUAUAUUUAGAGAAUUAAAAGGACUUGAUCUUGCUCUCUGCAUACCAUUGCGUCCCGGCUGCGGUCCUGGCCUAGUGGUAAGUUGUUGGCUCGUGCUCUGCCAGAGGUCUGGUGCAGCGAUUAUCCCGACAGGGAGAACGGGGAGCUGGAAGUCAUUUCCCUCUAUCGUCUCCAGACGCCAUUCCAUGCUACCGUACCUUGUCUGCGCUGCGAAGGAAGAAUAAAAGUGCAGGACAGCAGUUGGGGGAUUUGCCGCCGUUACGCAGUAGACCUGUUCUCAGCGUUCUGACCGUAAAGCAAUAGUAAAUCCAGAGAAGUCGGUGCUCUUCCUACCUGCCGUUCCAGAGCUGGCAACACGCGGCACUGCACAGAUGGCAAAGUGGCUCCAAAGAUUCAAUUAGAAAUGUAAUUUCAGCGAUGUAAUCAUCCAGCUGUGCAGCCGACGUUUGUGAAUAAUAAUGCUGGGCUUCAUGUUUAAAUGACACAAGUUUUUUGAAUGUUGGUCUAUAAUACAUUUUGUUGAAACCAAAGAUGUAUAGACUUGAUGCAGCGACAGAACCUCCUGGGGAGUUCAGCUUCAUUUCAGCUCAGCGGGAGCCAUUUACUGUCGCGCCAUUUUCAGAAAAUGUAACUUAAAAAAACAUAGGGGUAAAUGUAUUCCUAUAAUUUGUAUUAUGUUGCAGGAAAAGAAUAUUGGAAUAGCAGAAAACAUAUAUUUUGUUCCAAGAUUUAAUGAAUAAGCAUGAUGAAUAAAUGUGAUCGCAGUAUGGAUUAGAAUAAUCCUGAUCAUAAUUUGGGGCCAAAUUGUGCAGCUCUGUUGAUGCCGUACCGAACAGAAGUCCAUCAGAGUUUAAUGCUCCCGUCCCUCACAGCUUAAAUGAACCAACAGGAAGGGGCUGCAGUCGGCUGGAGAUCUCCACCCUGGUGUAGGUAGAGCGCCGUCAAACAACCUCUAAUGCCGGAUCGCAGCAAUAGUCUGACCCUUCUCAUUGUAAAUCACAGACCCGUGGCUAAUGGGAUUCCAUCUAUCAGAGGAUUAUGAUGAUCCAGCUCCCUUUGUGCACUGGCUCUGCCAUUUUACAUACAUUCUUUAUCAAUUUGACACACACUUUGUCAGCAGCGGUUGAUAAUGUGCCUCCCCAGCUCUUCAAAAAUGAAAAGAAGGAGAAAAAAAUCUUAACUACAGUAUACGAAACGCAAAAUGAUUCAUGUUUCCUCUCUUUGAAGAUUGUCUCAUCACUGAGAAUAUUACGUUUGGGACGCUUCAGAGGUUUGCCGUCCAUUACACUUUCACAACUUUGACAGGGGGGGGGAUUAGUCCAAAUGACAGGCAGUGUGUGAGGGGGG